UGUUUGAUGUUCUAACGUUGACCCGUAAUCCGGGUUGCGGACAGUGUCUGGUGGGUAGUUUGACUGGGGCGGUCUCCUCCUAAAGAGUAACGGAGGAGCACGAAGGUUGGCUAAUCCUGGUCGGACAUCAGGAGGUUAGUGCAAUGGCAUAAGCCAGCUUGACUGCGAGCGUGACGGCGCGAGCAGGUGCGAAAGCAGGUCAUAGUGAUCCGGUGGUUCUGAAUGGAAGGGCCAUCGCUCAACGGAUAAAAGGUACUCCGGGGAUAACAGGCUGAUACCGCCCAAGAGUUCAUAUCGACGGCGGUGUUUGGCACCUCGAUGUCGGCUCAUCACAUCCUGGGGCUGAAGUAGGUCCCAAGGGUAUGGCUGUUCGCCAUUUAAAGUGGUACGCGAGCUGGGUUUAGAACGUCGUGAGACAGUUCGGUCCCUAUCUGCCGUGGGCGCUGGAGAACUGAGGGGGGCUGCUCCUAGUACGAGAGGACCGGAGUGGACGCAUCACUGGUGUUCGGGUUGUCAUGCCAAUGGCACUGCCCGGUAGCUAAAUGCGGAAGAGAUAAGUGCUGAAAGCAUCUAAGCACGAAACUUGCCCCGAGAUGAGUUCUCCCUGACUCCUUGAGAGUCCUGAAGGAACGUUGAAGACGACGACGUUGAUAGGCC
Molecule: ribosomal RNA, 657 nt
Filed under: Escherichia coli
Lineage: Bacteria; Pseudomonadati; Pseudomonadota; Gammaproteobacteria; Enterobacterales; Enterobacteriaceae
Description: partial 23S ribosomal RNA
Rfam family: Bacterial large subunit ribosomal RNA
Source: RNAcentral